CCCAGGUCUGUCUCAUCCCUGGGACAGAGGCAGCCAAAGGCUGGUGAGCAGAGCUGGCGGCCAGGCCCCGCAGGCAGAAGCAGGCCCUCCCUUGGGAUUUAAGGCCCUCCAGUUGCAUUCCUCAAAUUCUUAGCAGUUUAUCUUUGAAUUUGUGUUUUGAAAGUGACAACUGAUGGGAAGCAUAUGCCAGGGGCUUCAGACCUCAGCUCAGGCCUUCACUGCUGCCCUUGGCCCAGUGAGGAUCUGAGUCCAGGCACAGCAAAGGUGAAGGUCAGAUGUGCAAGGGCCCAGGAAUAGAACAGUCUGCACAGCCCAGGGAGUGUCUCCGGGCCCAAGGGAGUAUAAGAAGGAAAGUAGAGACCUGGGGACCACAGAAGAAAGAAAAAAACCUUCCUUCCUGGUUUUUGAGCAAAGGGUCCCAACCUUUCGAUAAUCUCAAGUCCUGUAACGUGUCACUGACAGGCACCAUCACUGUGAUCAAGCAGUUGUCUGCAUUCCCAGAUGAGGCUGUCUUAAGAAGAAUUUCAUGUGACUGUCAAGGGAAAACUACCUUCAGUGCUUUCGGCUGUCAGAAUCCUGUCAUUGCUGCAGAUGUUGUUCACUGUGACUCAGGCUGUGAGGGGUGCAGGACACCAUGUCAUUUGGGACUGAAGUCUGCAGAUAAGAAAUUCAAGCUCAUGACAUCAGCCAGGGCUUAUUUGGUGUGGACACAGCCUGGGAUUUCAUGUCAGACAAACCCAAAUUCAAAUAUUGACCUUGGAGAAGAUAAUUAACCUUUUUGGAAUUUGCAUUAAAGCUGAAUUCAGGUUUCACUUGCUAUCCUAAAGUAGAUUAUCUCCAUGAAACCUUUGCAAGCUAAAAUGGUAUACAGUGAAGAGGCGGUUACCUUAGGACACCUCUUGCUAAUAGAGGCACAAAAUUAAGAUAAAGCACAGAUGCUCACAGCCACAUUUCAGUGUUCUGGAGGCGGGAUGCUGAGGUGCUGAGUGUGGUUUGGGGGACGCACCAUGGCAUGGCCACUCUCACUGCUUGGUUGUGCACCGCUGCCUCUGUAACUGCUCAGCUACCUGUAAGACAAAUAGUACUUUCACUUCCUGCCUUUUGUUCCAUAAUGGUGAAUUUCUUUCCAUGUGAAAACAGGAACUAAUGCAGAUCUUUCCUAAAAGCAAAGUGCAUAAAGGGAGGAGGGGUGGGAGGGGGUUAUCCACAGUUAACCAAGCAAUUGAUUUUUUUUUUUUUUUCCAUUCAAAAAAUAGUUGCUGAGUGCUGGGUAGCAGGAAUUUAACAGUGAAGGGGAACGUGGUUGCUGUCCUCCUGAAGACUACAGUCUAAAGGAUGUGAUGACUAGAUAUGAGUAGCUAAGAAUAAACAAGCAUGCAGGCUGUGGUUGUGGCUGGGA
RNAcentral lists this long non-coding RNA (1399 nucleotides) under Bos indicus x Bos taurus (hybrid cattle). RNAcentral's name for it is "lncRNA (ENSBIXG00005014574.1)". The record is from RNAcentral. Lineage: Eukaryota; Metazoa; Chordata; Mammalia; Artiodactyla; Bovidae.